AGAGUUUGAUCAUGGCUCAGAAUGAACGCUGGCGGCGUGCUUAACACAUGCAAGUCGAACGAUGAAGCCUAGCUUGCUAGGUGGAUUAGUGGCGCACGGGUGAGUAAUAUAUAGGUAACGUGCCUCUUAGUCUGGGAUAGCCAUUGGAAACGAUGAUUAAUACUAGAUACUCCUUCUGAUUAUAAUUUCAGUCGGGAAAGUUUUUCGCUAAGAGAUCGGCCUAUUUCCCAUCAGCUUGUUGGUAGUGUAAGAGACUACCAAGGCUAUGACGGGUAGCGGGUUUGAGAGGAUGAUCCGCCACACUGGUACUGAGACACGGACCAGACUCCUACGGGAGGCAGCAGUGAGGAAUAUUGCACAAUGGAGGAAACUCUGAUGCAGCAACGCCGCGUGGAGGAUGACGCAUUUCGGUGUGUAAACUCCUUUUAUGAGUCAAGAAAAUGACGGUAGCUCAUGAAUAAGCACCGGCUAACUCCGUGCCAGCAGCCGCGGUAAUACGGAGGGUGCAAGCGUUAUUCGGAAUCACUGGGCGUAAAGGACGCGUAGGCGGGAAGCCAAGUCUGAUGUGAAAUCCUAUGGCUCAACCAUAGAACUGCAUUGGAAACUGGUUACCUAGAGUAUGGGAGGGGGAGAUGGAAUUAGUGGUGUAGGGGUAAAAUCCGUAGAUAUCACUAGGAAUACCGAAAGCGAAGGCGAUCUCCUGGAACAAUACUGACGCUAAGGCGUGAAAGCGUGGGGAGCAAACGGGAUUAGAUACCCCGGUAGUCCACGCCCUAAACGAUGUUCACUAGUCGUCGGAAUGCUAGUCAUUUCGNNGANNNNNCUAACAGAUUAAGUGAACCGCCUGGGGAGUANGGU
This 858-nucleotide ribosomal RNA is filed under the name uncultured bacterium. RNAcentral's name for it is "bacterial SSU rRNA". It matches the Rfam family "Bacterial small subunit ribosomal RNA", at positions 8 to 886 of the family's 1533-position model. The record is from RNAcentral.